Long non-coding RNA from Chelonia mydas (Green sea turtle), 434 nucleotides. RefSeq lists it as uncharacterized. The record is from RefSeq and is a predicted model, not a curated record. Lineage: Eukaryota; Metazoa; Chordata; Testudines; Cheloniidae. The transcript has 3 exons.
GUAAUUUAUCUACUAGGUGCUGGAACUAGCAGUGUGGAGGGUGCUCCCGCACCCCCGGCUUGAUGUGGUUUCCAUUACAUCCAGGGUUUACAGUUUGGUUCAAUGGCUCUCAGCACCCCCACUAUACAAAUUGUUCCAGCACCCGUGGAGUGAGGGGCGGGGGAUGAGGCAUGGGGCAGUGGAGAUGAGAUGGGGAAGAAAAGGGGAUAGGGGAAUCCAGGGGGGGAAGUGGGAGCCCAGCCUGCAGCAUCCCCUUGGCAGCAGCUGGGGCUCCCCUGUUAAACAGGCCUGUCGAACCUCCCUACACCUGGACCUCCUCCCCCAUCCCGGACAAGUCCCCCACCCCACUGAGCUACAGCCAGCUGCACCUGGACCCCCAAACCCUGCACACACAUCCCUGCACCUGGAUCCCCUGCAAAGUCCCAUUACCGCUG